UACCUUAUUUCUUCAAUCUAGAUUGUAAAAAAAAUAUACUGGCGGUGGUAGGAGUCAUUCCCCAAUCCCCACCAGAUCUCCAAUUCCAGAUGGGAAAUUCAUCGGGAAAUCGUAAGAGGCGGCGAUCGACGGAAGUAGCAUUUUGCGAGCACCAUUAUUGAGGGCGAUCUCGUUUGCAAUGGCGACGACAGGCAGAUGGAAAGUGACCAGUAGUGAUGAGGGGAAGAGGUUGCAGAGGUGAUGCGGCUACUCUGGAUUGAAGGACGGAUCAAUCGAGGUAAAUGAAAACAGCCAUGAACCAGCACAUCGGUGACUGGUGACUGCAAGAAAAGUUUGCAAUAGAUUAGAGGUUUUGAAUGGAGGAGGGUAUGCCUAUGUUUUACAAAGAAUUAAUUAUAGAAGAGUGCUUGGGAAGUAGAUGCCUUGAAUAUGAUUUUUAUAUGAAGAUCUAAAUUGUGAUUGAUUAAGGUUUGGAAUUAUGAGUCGAUUAGUUAUUAAUUACCUUGAGUUAUGAAUUUUUUGAUGAUGAUAGGUAUGGUAGAUUGAGAUAUGAAUUGUAACAGUGAUGAUGUAUGAAUUAUGAUUUAUGAUGCAGGAAACCAGGACUGUUUAAUUUAAGAUUGUAUUUCUUAAGAUUGUAUUUCUUAUCUCUUGAUGAUGUAUUUUUACUGUUUUAUUACCUGGAGCCUGGAGACUAGAAUGUUCUGGAAAAAAUGAGAAGAAUGAAUUACUGAUGUCAUUUUCUUAGAAACUUAACUUGAUUUUUGAUUUAUUUAUGAUUAGGCUUUGAAUGAAAUGCAAAACAUGGUUUAAAGGAGAGGCAUAUAUAUCUGGAAUUUCUGAUGCAAUUGAAUUUCUGAAUCCAUGUGUGUUUGAAGUAGAUGUUAAAUUGGGGUUUAUCAGGCACAAUCGACCAUGAGGCAGGCAGGCAGGUAGGCAAUCAGGUUAAUUACUUUAGUUACACGAGCCAAUUAGGUGAGUAGUUAAGAGCAUAUAUAUAUUUAGUUUUGAUUAAUUGGCUGUCACCAGCUCUCUUCCAAAACAUAUAUCGGAGCCACAAACUAAUAAAAGAUGGAAAGAGAAGAAUGAAAAACUGUGCGUUCUUUCGUUGCACACCAGGUUUGUUUCAUCUUUUACUUUGUUCUCUCUUUUUUGUUUACUCCAAUCAUUUAAUAAAAUAGUAGUUAAUAAAAUGAACGUCCAGUAUGCCCAAUCCUAUGGUGGCAAUCCCGUACCAAACUAUGCCCCAAGAAAUAUGUCGGAGACCGGAGGGCCUCCCAACCGACGUAACCUCCCUCGGUACUAUUCCAAGAAACCAGAGAAAGACGGGGAUGGUUGCAUUAAUUGCGGUUGUUUCUUAUGGUUCUGCAUCUUCCUACUCGUUUUUAUAUUUAUUCUAGCAGGUAUCAUCGUUUAUACCGUGUUGUGUCUCGACCCCAAACCGUCAGUUUACAAGUUUAAUCGUCUCCAAAUCGGAGAGUUCGAUAUGAGCCCCGACCUCAGCAAUCUUCGUACUGAGAUUGAUAUGACCGUUGAGGCUGAGAAUCCCAACAGGUGAAGGUGGCAUCUUAAUUAACGUGCUAAUUAUCUCCCGCCCGAUUUAAAUUUAAUCUAACCGGUGUUUUAAAGGAACAUCGGGAUAUCCUACGAAAAAGAUAGUCUGGUCGCCGUGGUGUACAAGGGUGCGAUGCUCUGCUCCGGUCAGCUACCAUCGUUCUACCAGGAUCGACAGAACACCACAAUUUUCAACGUGAAGCUUUUAGGAAACAGCACCUUCGGUCCCGUCCUCCACUCGGCACUUGAGGAGAACCAACAUGCCCAAACCAUCCCUCUAGAUAUCUACGUAAAGGUGCCAGUUAUCAUCCGAGCCUGGACAACGCACACACGAGAACUAACCGUUUUUGUUAACGCUAACGUGGUCAUCGAUAAUUUGAAAGCCAAAAAGAAGGUAUCGAUCAAAUCUGCAACGUACAAGUACAAUGUCAAAUUUUGAAAAUACGUAAAUUAAUAUAUCAGAGCACAGCAUCAUUCGCGUAUAUUCGGUCUUCGUCUUUCUCUUAUGAGUUUACAAAAAAAUGGGGGGGGAGCUGGUUAUGGUAGGAAAACGCAGUUUAAUUUACAACACACGGACAUUGUAUUGAUAACAAUUUUUUGACUGUAAUAACAAUUUUUUUGACAUGUUACGUAUAUAUUUACUGAUCAAUGCAUGUAUAUAUUCAGACAAAACAAACGGUAACCUACAUCAACUCACAGUAGAAGAAAUCUCAAGAAACUCAUGCUUCAAAUCUGUCUAGGAAAAGAUGUGGCGAUCCCAGUUCCUUUUAGAUAAAGAUCUCUGAGAGCUUUCC
RNAcentral lists this long non-coding RNA (2348 nucleotides) under Zostera marina. RNAcentral describes it as "long non-coding RNA (ZMAR_LNC003165)". Lineage: Eukaryota; Viridiplantae; Streptophyta; Magnoliopsida; Alismatales; Zosteraceae. The record is from RNAcentral.